CGGAGGGGACCCCUCUGCCCAGGAAGCCGCAGGUCCCGGGGGCCCAGAGGGAGCAGACCAUGGAGUCAUCGUCACACAGUGAGAGGAGCACAGGGGCUGGCCAUGGGCCCAGGGGCCACAAGAGAAAGCUGCACGAGGAGGAUGCGGCCAGUGAGUCUAGCAAGGAAUCCAGCAACGAGGACGGGGAGGGCAGCAGCUCCGAGGCAGACGAGAUGGCAGCCGCGCUGGAGGCCGAGCUCAGCGGCUUUAUGUGACCCAGCUGCGCCGCAGGUCCUGGAAAGACCUGAGUACUUUGCAGAGCUCCACAUACAGAAACACAUUAUUUUGCAGAAAUAGGUGUUUUUAAGAAGUUUUACUACAAGAAAGUCUACUUUUUUAAGUGACAGAGUGUUAAAGGGGUCUUUGGGCUGGUUGUGGUUUGUUCUCAUGGGGGGAGGGGGGACAGGGUUUUUCCCUUUAAGUACCUAGCAUAUUGUUCAGGGUGAGGACUGUGGGGAUCCGACAGGACGUAGAGAUCAGGCAGAGAGCCUGGAGGUCUUGUCAUGCUGUGUCACAGCUGAGGCCAUCAGAGCCUUAAAGGAUUUUUAAAUGGAGCAGAACAGUGCAUGUGCUGAGAGCACAGCGACCAGCAGAGACCACUGGCCCCCGCUGGGCCCAUCAUGACCUGCAGGUUCCGCUCCUCCCACCAUGGGCGGCUCGACGUGAAGGGCGUCGCUUUUCUUGGUGGCCUUUACUUCUUUGAGAGAUCUGAUGUAAAUUUUUUGUAUAUCUGUUUCAUAUUUGACCCACCAAACAGAUUUUUCUUUCAUUUAAUAAAAGUCCUUUUGUAAGCUCUCU
Long non-coding RNA from Galeopterus variegatus (Sunda flying lemur), 837 nucleotides. RefSeq lists it as uncharacterized. The transcript is spliced from 2 exons. The record is from RefSeq and is a predicted model, not a curated record. NCBI's taxonomy places the organism in Eukaryota, Metazoa, Chordata, Mammalia, Dermoptera, Cynocephalidae.